RNAcentral lists this ribosomal RNA (382 nucleotides) under uncultured soil bacterium. RNAcentral's name for it is "bacterial SSU rRNA". It matches the Rfam family "Bacterial small subunit ribosomal RNA", at positions 26 to 419 of the family's 1533-position model. The record is from RNAcentral.
AGAUUGAACGCUGGCGGCAUGCCUAACACAUGCAAGUCGAACGGGAGUAGCAAUACUCUAGUGGCGGACGGGUGAGGAAUACGUAGGAAUUUGCCCUUAAGUGGGGGAUAACCCGGGGAAACCCGGAUUAAUACCGCAUGACCUCGAAAGAGCAAAGUGGGGGAUCGCAAGACCUCACGCUUUUGGAGAAGCCUACGUCGGAUUAGCUAGUUGGUGAGGUAAUGGCUCACCAAGGCGACGAUCCGUAACUGGUCUGAGAGGAUGAUCAGUCACACCGGAACUGAGACACGGUCCGGACUCCUACGGGAGGCAGCAGUGGGGAAUAUUGGACAAUGGGCGCAAGCCUGAUCCAGCAAAUGCCGCGUGUGUGAAGAAGGCCUUC